UACGGGGGGGGCAAGCGUUGUUCGGAAUCACUGGGCUUAAAGGGCGCGUAGGCGGCCGGGUUGGUCGUGGGUGAAAUCCCCCAGCUUAACUGGGGAACUGCCUACGAUACUGCCUGGCUCGAGGGAGGAAGGGGCGGUCGGAACUGUCGGUGGAGCGGUGAAAUGCGUUGAUAUCGACAGGAACGCCGGUGGCGAAGGCGGGAUCCUGGGCCAGUACUGACGCUGAGGAGCGAAAGCGUGGGGAGCAAACAGG
Molecule: ribosomal RNA, 253 nt
Filed under: uncultured bacterium
Lineage: Bacteria
Description: partial 16S ribosomal RNA
Rfam family: Bacterial small subunit ribosomal RNA
Source: RNAcentral